GACGAACGCUGGCGGCGUGCUUAACACAUGCAAGUCGAACGGAAAGGCCCUGCUUUUGUGCGGUGCUCGAGUGGCGCAAGGGUGAGUAUCACGUGAGUGACCUGCCCCUUACUUUGGGAUACCUUCAGGGAACUGGGGCUCAUAUCGGAUAGGAACACCUGCUGCAUGGUGGGGAAUGUUAAAUUGCGGUGUUUGGGGACGGACUCGCGGUUCAGCAGCUUGUUGGUGGGGUAGUGGCGUACCAGGGCUCUGACGGGUGGCCGCCUUGGGAGGGUGACCGGCCACAUAGGGCUAGAGGAGCGGCCCGGACUGCUACGGGGGCCAUGGGUGGGAAAUUGUGCACGAUGGGCGGAAGCCGGAUGCAGCAACUCCGCGUGCGGGAUGACGGCCUUCGGGUAGGAAACCGCUUGCGCCUGGGACGAAGCGUGAGUGACGGUAAUGGGUAAAGAAGCACCGGCUAACUACGUG
Molecule: ribosomal RNA, 468 nt
Filed under: uncultured bacterium
Lineage: Bacteria
Description: partial 16S ribosomal RNA
Rfam family: Bacterial small subunit ribosomal RNA
Source: RNAcentral